RNAcentral lists this ribosomal RNA (608 nucleotides) under uncultured bacterium. RNAcentral describes it as "bacterial SSU rRNA". It matches the Rfam family "Bacterial small subunit ribosomal RNA", at positions 338 to 1429 of the family's 1533-position model. The record is from RNAcentral.
CCUACGGGAGGCAGCAGUGGGGAAUAUUGCACAAUGGGCGCAAGCCUGAUGCAGCGACGCCGCGUGAGGGAUGACGGCCUUCGGGUUGUAAACCUCUUUCAGCAGGGACGAAGCGCAAGUGACGGUACCUGCAGAAGAAGCACCGGCCAACUACGUGCCAGCAGCCGCGGUAAUACGUAGGGUGCAAGCGUUGUCCGGAAUUACUGGGCGUAAAGAGCUCGUAGGCGGUUUGUCGCGUCGUCUGUGAAAACCAGCAGCUCAACUGUUGGCUUGCAGGCGAUACGGGCAGACUUGAGUAUUUCAGGGGAGACUGGAAUUCCUGGUGUAGCGGUGAAAUGCGCAGAUAUCAGGAGGAACACCGGUGGCGAAGGCGGGUCUCUGGGAAAUAACUGACGCUGAGGAGCGAAAGCGUGGGUAGCGAACAGGAUUAGAUACCCUGGUAGUCCACGCCGUAAACGGUGGGCGCUAGGUGUGGGUUUCCUUCCACGGGAUCCGUGCCGUAGCUAACGCAUUAAGCGCCCCGCCUGGGGAGUACGGCCGCAAGGCUAAAACUCAAAAGNGAAGUUGACGGCGUGAGACGUCGACGACGACGACGACGAGGGAGGAGG